Molecule: non-coding RNA, 357 nt
Organism: Vicia faba (fava bean)
Lineage: Eukaryota; Viridiplantae; Streptophyta; Magnoliopsida; Fabales; Fabaceae
Source: the annotation of a GenBank genome assembly
AUGAGUCACAAUGAGAAAACAAUCUCGUCAUGGAGACAAAAUUCUAAUAGAAAAUCGGCUAGAAAUCGGCAUGUCAGGAGCUGCACAUUCCGUAUUCCUUGGCAAUCUGAAUUCUCUCCCAUUGAGCUCGUCAAGGAUCUAGCAGAAAGAGUGAUGAACGCUUUACGGUUGGUCUCUCUGAGGAGAUCUUUACACCGAGACUCAUCGUCCUUAGGAAGAUCGGCAUCAGCAGGAUCGUCUGCUGAUUCUCAUAGAACAGCUGCUGUUGAGGAUUGCAUUGAGUUCAUCCACACUUCUUUUUCUAGAUCAAAUUCCUCAACUAAAACAUCGCACGAAGAUUCUAUAGAAGCUUCUUGA